GGCGACUUGGCCGAGUGGUUAUGGCGCUGGAAUUAGGAUUUCUGAUAUCCAGUUCUUCGGAGCGUGGGUUCGAACCCCACAGUCGUCA
Fistulina hepatica ATCC 64428 is the source of this 88-nucleotide transfer RNA. It matches the Rfam family "tRNA". Rfam says of the family: Transfer RNA (tRNA) molecules are approximately 80 nucleotides in length. Their secondary structure includes four short double-helical elements and three loops (D, anti-codon, and T loops). The record is from Rfam. Lineage: Eukaryota; Fungi; Basidiomycota; Agaricomycetes; Agaricales; Fistulinaceae.